CCAGGGAAUUCUGGGAGUUGAAGUCUGAAAGUUGCCACGGUUGAGAAACAUCUCCUAACCUCGUCGUCUUCCCCUUUCUCCAAUCUUUUCCAGAGUUCCAGUAGAAGGUCAUUUACAGCCAGCCUUCCAACCGAAGCGGCAGCGACUUCAAACAAACUUCUUCCUUCUUGGUCUGAUCGUGGUUACAGGCUUCGUGUUUUAAACUCUCUACCCGGCUCAGGACCGCUGUAAAUGUUCUCGGAGGGAUUUUUGUAAUUAAGUGUGAUUUUUUUUCAUGGUUUGUUGUUUUUAAUAUAUAAAUAUCUGUAUAUGUAUAAAUAAUAGUUUGCUUUACGUAUUUUUUUAAACAGUUGCUAUUUAAAAAGGCCGUGCUUCCAGCCUUCCUUUUCAGGGUAUUUUCAGCGUUUAGGAUCGUGAGCCUGGAGUUCUAGCACAAAAUUACUGAAUUCU
Molecule: long non-coding RNA, 450 nt
Organism: Thamnophis elegans (Western terrestrial garter snake)
Lineage: Eukaryota; Metazoa; Chordata; Lepidosauria; Squamata; Natricidae
Exons: 2
Source: RefSeq, a predicted model, not a curated record